Nilaparvata lugens (brown planthopper) is the source of this 5305-nucleotide RNA transcript. It is a transcript of the gene named calcium uptake protein 1 homolog, mitochondrial, with no coding region annotated. The transcript is spliced from 15 exons. NCBI's taxonomy places the organism in Eukaryota, Metazoa, Arthropoda, Insecta, Hemiptera, Delphacidae. The record is from RefSeq and is a predicted model, not a curated record.
CAUCAGCAUUGAAUGCAGAAGAAUUGAAAGGAAGGAACGAGGAAGGCUAUGUUUGUAUUUUUUACUCGCUCGCUUUUGAUAGUUUUUUGAACGUAGUUCUGUCAGGUUUCAAGGUAAUUUUGUUUACUUUGAAUAGUUUCAAAUUGGAUAUGAAGGAGUGGGAGAUAGCAAGAUAAUUCAUUCAGUAAAAUCUCAAGAUGUGGCUCGCCAUAAGUCGUCAACCUCAAAAGGGUGCUAUUUUAUUUAAAUUUCUUCAGCACCCUCAGUUGAAGGAAAACGACCUCAGCCGCUCUUACUCUGUUUUGAGUAAAUUAAAGCCAAAGCGACGAAUCUGUCAAAAUGCAGAGUCAGCAUAUUUCAAGAAAGAAAUCAACACCACCGGUCUACCACAUUAUGCUCCCAAGCCGGCAUAUCAGUGUGUAUCCACAUACAUUGCGGCUGGUGUCAUCAUCUAUGGAAUAUGGAAAGUAAAGAAGCAACUCGUAUCUGUAAAGGCCGAUUCUUCUAUUCAAGAACAUAAUAUAGAACAUGAUAAAUUACUAGACGAAGAUGACAUCGGGAAGAAAAAGAGAAGAAGCAAGGAGAAAGUAGGAUUUCGUGAUAGAAAGAUUAUCGAAUACGAGAACCGCAUACGACACUUCUCGACUCCAGACAAGGUGUUCCGCUACUUCGCCACUCUACAAGUGACGCACAUCCACGCGUCAGGAACGGAAACCCACGAAGUUUUCAUGACGCCUGACGACUUUCUACGAUCUAUGACACCCGGCCUCAAACAGCCUGAUGGUCUUGGACUUGAUCAGUACAAACGAUACGACCCGAAGAACCAUGCAGAGAACGUGCAUAUGAAGCUGGAAUUGGCUCUCGAUGAAGACAGCAUCUUCUAUAAGCUGGGCAGUUCCGGACUCAUCACAUUUUCUGACUACAUUUUUCUGCUCACCGUUCUAUCAACAUCCCGUCGCCAUUUUGAAAUCGCGUUCAGAAUGUUCGACCUGAAUGGUGAUGGAGAUGUGGACUGUGAGGAAUUUGAAAAGGUGGCAACCCUGAUUCGCCAACAGACCAGCAUUGGCAGCAGGCACCGUGAUCAUGCUAACACUGGAAACACAUUCAAAGGAGUCAACUCAGCUCUAACCACAUACUUUUUUGGGCCAAGCAUGAACCAGAAGUUGACUAUUGAGAAAUUUCUGGAGUUCCAACAACAACUGCAAAGGGAGAUUCUAAGUCUUGAGUUUCAGCGCAAAAACCCUGACGAUAAUGGCAAAAUAUCGGAGGCAGAUUUCACUGAACUAUUGCUGGCUUAUGCCGGGUAUGCUCCUAAGAAGAAAGCCCGUAUGUUGAAACACGUUAAAAAAGUAUUCAGAGAAAAUCCGCAAGGUAUCAGUAGAGACGAUUAUCUCAAGUUUUUCCACUUUUUGAAUAACAUCAACGACGUUGACACAGCACUCACUUUCUAUCAUAUCGCUGGAGCUUCUAUUGACCAAGGAACCUUGAAACACGUGGCCAAGACAGUUGCUCAUGUGGAUCUGAGUGAUCAUGUAAUAAACGUCGUUUUCACAAUAUUCGAUGAAAAUCUUGACGGGCAACUGAGCAACAGAGAGUUUGUGGCAGUGAUGAAGAAUCGCCUGCUUCGUGGUCUGGAAAAGCCCAAAGACACCGGUUUCGUCAAAUUCAUCCAGUCUGUUCUCAAGUGCGCCAAAGAAACGAGGCCAGUUAUUUUCGACAUUUAAACACUAAUACACCACAUUAAUAAUGUAUCUCCGUGAUAUUAUUACAUAUAAUUUUGUGAAAAAUAUAUGCCUUAUCAGUGUAUAAAUGGAAUGGACUACCAUCAGUCCAUUCAACAAACCUACACAAAAUUGUGUUGGUAACACUUGUGAGAGAGUGUGGAAUGAAUGUCAAUUUAUAGUUUAUAUUAUCAAUAUAAAGACCCUUAAAACAACCCAAAUAUGAACAAGCAUGAUGAGAUUACAUACAAUUUCUAAAUUUGAAGCAUCUAAAUUCGAAUAUCUACUUUGUGAAAAUACUUGAGGACUGAAAAUUUUGUGAAUUGAAGAACUACAAGACUUAACCUAUUUCGGACUAUGUGUUAUCUAAAUUUGGGAGAGGAAUAGCACAAGGUUACCUUAUUUUUCCUCUCCCUAUGAUUUUGAUAAUGUACUUAUCGUAUAAAUGAAUGAAUGAAUUUCGUGUUGAUUGUUAUAUGUAAAUAUAAAUACAAUUUCAUAGUCAGUCAGUUUCAACUCCCAAGAGUUGAUUUGAUAAGUUUUUACUUGUGAUGAAAGUGUAUGAUUAAUUUCCUGAUGGGGUCUAUGAGACAUUUUUAACAUAAGAUAUAUUAAUCUAUUUCAAAUUCGCAUACAUAUUUCACGUUUGUAAUGGGGUCCAAGGUAUUUCCCCUAUGUAGUUUGAUUAAGCAUAUAUUUCACACAAAAAUAUUUGUAAUCUCAUCAUAUUUUGAUCGUUGUUAGGGUCUUUAUAUUGAUCAUAUAAAAUUAUGUAUUGACAUUUGUUCUAGACAAAACAACAAUGCUGUAAUAAUUAAAACACUUCCCUCUCACAAGUGAUACAAAGAUAAUUUCGUUUAGGUUUGUUGAAAUCACUGAUGGAAUGUAAUGUAUCUCCCUUUCAUUGAUCACGCAUAUAUUUCACACAAAAUUAUGUGUUCAAUAUCACGGAAAUACAUUAUUAAUCUGCUAAUUCGACUCCUUCUAAUUCGACAUCUCCUUACUGGAACUAUAUUCCAGUAAGUUAAAUGGUAAAUUGCAUACGAUGCUGACAAUGAGUUGAAAAUAUUUAGUUGGGAGAUAUUUUUAUCAAACCAGUUUUGUAUACAAUUUAUUCAACUAAUUCAUGAAUAAUUGCUGGCUUAAGUAUCUGAAUACCCAAAAACCUCGAAAACAAAUUUUAAUAUCUAAUGAAUCAAGAAAAACAUCAACGAAUAAGAAAACAUAAAAUUUUUAAUGUAAAAAUAGCUGUUUCUGUAUUAAUACAUUUCAAUAAUAUUUAUUCAUUUCUUGGUGUUUAAUUAUGUGUCAAGUUUAGUAACCACAGGCUUAUUUACAUUGAACCUUUGUUCAGAUCGUUCCUAAUUCGGUAAAUCUUUGACCAUCAACAUACUUAUAUCUAUAUAUUUUUAUAAUUUAUAUUAUUGGCCGAGAAGGCUGUAAAAACCCACGUAUAAGGUAUUAUUGGUAAGGUAUAUUAUUGUACAAGAAUUAUUAAGUAUCGGUAAGGUAUAUUAUUGUACAAGAAAAGAAAACACUUUUUGAUAUGUUCAAUGCGUAGCACCGUUUUAUUCUGUACAAAGGAUGUAAAUUAAACAAUUUGUCUUCAAAAAUAUACUAAGCAAAAUCAUAAAUAGAAGAAUAUUCUAGAAAAAGAAUCAUAUUUCAUUGAUAGGAUUUCAUAAAAAUAAUGUAAACUAUAAAUAAUAUUGCAGUUCCUUUCUUCAUACUACUUAUUUAAUUGUUUUUAAUCUCUCUUCAAGAUUUCUAACGGUACCCUAGUUGAAGUGACCUGUCCACAAAUUAUUCUUAUCUCAUCCUUCACCAUUUCCAACGUCGUCAACGUAGGAUUGAUCUGCAAUAUAUAUUUUAUUCAACUUCGACACAAUUUUUCAUCCAUCUAAAGACUAUGCUACAAUCAUCGUCUAUAAUAUUAUACAGUGAGACAUUUAAAUUAUUACAGUAAUGAUCAAAGAUCCAUUUUUCUCUCAUUGCCAUUUCUUACAGGGUGUUACUUAGAAAGUAUCUUUGUCAUCUUGUCUAUUAUUUGUUUCUCUUAUCUCUUUCCAUUUUUAUUGUAGUUUGUUUCAAAUAACAUUUUAAACAAUCUAUGUCAAUUCUAGAUGUAUAUUGGUAUGUAUUUAUUAUCAUUAUUAUGUUUUACACGGGUACAAACAGUUUUAGUCUAUCCUGUUUGAAAAUGUUAUUAUUCUCCAAGAUGAUUAAUUUUGUAAGUAUUAUUGGUUAUCAUCACAUGUAGUUUUGUGGUAUUCUAAUUUUAUGCAUUGUAAAAUCGUAUGACUGUUACCAUUUUUGAUUGAUUUUUUGAUUUGAAAUUUCAAAGCAUAUUGAAUUUGAGAACUUUUUCAACAUUGUAAAGUUACCCUCUAUUUCUCAUGUCAAUUUUUCAGACUAGUUUGAAAGAGACAGUCUAUUUCUAUGCAUUCAUGGAAUUAAAUGUAUCAUUCUAAUCAACUUCUCUAUAAUAUUCAUCAAUCUUCAUGCCUGUUCUUAGUUACUAAUGUUGAUGAAGAUUUAUUAAAAUCAUUUUAAAAUCAAACCCAAAAGGUGUUAUCAGUGAUGGUUACAAAUGUGAAUCUAUAGUCUGUUCUCGGAGCUGAGAGAUGAUGUAACAUGAAAAUGAGAAUACUCAUUAUUAUACUCUGUGCAGAAUUACUUCUUACUUGGGAUGGGCAUGCGCAACAGAGAAAGCAUACAGCGGGAAGGAUACAGAGGUUGCCAAAGUUGCCAUCGUUCUCCAACUUCUAGUGACUGUUCAUGUGCUCAUGCUACACAUACGACGUUUCCUGUCUGGAAGCAGUCAGACUACUGACAAAUUGGCAACUGUGCUUCUACCUAUGACUAUUAAUCACUGUAAUUGGCUGAUCUCCCUCCAUUUCUCUGCGCUGCAUAUUCCUCCAAGACUGAAGUAAAUUUGUACGGACUAUAGGUGAUGUUGAAACCCUGCAACAUUGAGUGCUGUUUGCACAGUAUCAGUUUAAACUAAAUUUAGUUUCAAACUGGAUUAAUAAUAAUAAUAAUCGCCUUUAUUGAUCAAAUAUACAACAAUUUGUUACAAAAAUAUUUCUAUAUAAGUAUUACAUUACUGGCAUUCGCCCCAUGGAUAAGAUCCGUCCGGGGGGAGAGGAGAAAGAUAAUUUUUUCCCUUUUUCAAGUUGCAAAAAGUUUACAAUGCUACAUUAAUUAUAUUUAAACGAUAUGGCAGAGAGGUUUUUUUAUUAUUAUUAUUAUUAUUACUACAAAAGAAGAUACGUUUUCAGAAAGCUUUAAAAAUUGAACUCCUGGAUCAAUGAAUACCUGUACUUCAAACUGGAUUAAAUCCACAUCAAGUCUCGUUCCUUAUAUUGUGGUUCAUUUUGAGUUGAAGCCACCAACUGAUUACAGUAAAUUCAGCUUUGACUGUGCAAACGGCACUCAAACAUGCUUGUGUGAGAGAAUAUCUUUAAGAAGCAAGACCAAUUCACAGUAGCCACCUGACAUCUUUGUCAUGAAUUGAACUGAAUAAUAUUGCAGUACAUGAUUCAGUAUUAAUGAGAGCAUUGUGAACUGGUAUUAUACGAGUU